This 253-nucleotide ribosomal RNA is filed under the name uncultured bacterium. RNAcentral describes it as "partial 16S ribosomal RNA". It matches the Rfam family "Bacterial small subunit ribosomal RNA", at positions 524 to 776 of the family's 1533-position model. The record is from RNAcentral.
UACGGAGGAGGCAAGCGUUAUCCGGAAUUAUUGGGCGUAAAGGGCGCGUAGGCGGUGCGGUAAGUCACUUGUGAAAUCUCUGAGCUUAACUCAGAACGGCCAAGUGAUACUGCAGUACUAGAGUGCGGAAGGGGCAAUCGGAAUUCUUGGUGUAGCGGUGAAAUGCGUAGAUAUCAAGAGGAACACCUGAGGUGAAGACGGGUUGCUGGGCCGACACUGACGCUGAUGCGCGAAAGCCAGGGGAGCAAACGGG